Molecule: ribosomal RNA, 253 nt
Filed under: uncultured bacterium
Lineage: Bacteria
Description: partial 16S ribosomal RNA
Rfam family: Bacterial small subunit ribosomal RNA
Source: RNAcentral
UCCGGAGGGCGCAAUCGUUGUUCGGAAUCACUGGGCGUAAAGCGCGUGUAGGCGGCUUGGUAAGUCGGGUGUGAAAGCCCGGGGCCUAACCCCGGAACUGCACUCGAAACUGCCUCGCUCGAGUCCCGGAGAGGAUGGUGGAAUUCCCGGUGUAGUGGUGAAAUACGUAGAUAUCGGGAGGAACACCAGCGGCGAAGGCGGCCAUCUGGACGGUGACUGACGCUGAGACGCGAAAGCGUGGGGAGCAAACAGG